CGCAUCUGUGCAUGCAGCAUAUCAAUAAGCGGAGGAAAAGAAACUAACAAGGAUUCCCUUAGUAACGGCGAGUGAAGCGGGAAGAGCUCAAAUUUGAAAUCUUCAAGGUUUUACCUUGACGAAUUGUAGUUUAAAGAAGUGUUUUCUGUUGAAGUUUUGGUAAAAGUUCUUUGGAAUAGGACAUCAUAGAGGGUGAGAAUCCCGUAUUUGACCAUUAUUUUCAGCUGUGUGAUACACUUUCAAAGAGUCGGAUUGUUUGGGAAUGCAGUCCAAAAUGGGUGGUAAAUUUCAUCUAAAGCUAAAUAUUGGCGAGAGACCGAUAGCGAACAAGUACCGUGAGGGAAAGAUGAAAAGAACUUUGAAAAGAGAGUUAAACAGUACGUGAAAUUGUCAAAAGGGAAGCGUUUGACACCAGUGUUGUUUUCUCGAAAAUCAAUUAAAAAGAGUUAGAUUUUGUUGUGUAUUGACCUUAACAGCUUGCAUUUCAAUUUUCUUGCUUUUUUUAAUGCACUUUUCGUUUAACGAAGUCAACAUCAGUUCCUUUUGUUGUAAAAAGGUCAUUGGAAGGUGGCUUUCUUUUCGGAGAAAGUGUUUAUAGCCUUUGACUCCUGCAAUCGGAGAGACUGAGGUCUGCAGCGUAGAUCCUUCGGGGUUAGAUACAUUUGUGCUAAGUUAUAGCUUUUUAUAGACAACUUGUUGACUAUGAUUAGUCUUGUAGCUUACUCGCUUAUGCUAUUUUACCUACGCUUAGGAUGUUGAUGUGAUACUGCGAGCA
RNAcentral lists this ribosomal RNA (775 nucleotides) under uncultured Neocallimastigales. Its description in RNAcentral is "partial large subunit ribosomal RNA". It matches the Rfam family "Eukaryotic large subunit ribosomal RNA", at positions 26 to 629 of the family's 3401-position model. Lineage: Eukaryota; Fungi; Neocallimastigomycota; Neocallimastigomycetes; Neocallimastigales. The record is from RNAcentral.